Molecule: unclassified non-coding RNA, 283 nt
Filed under: uncultured fungus
Lineage: Eukaryota; Fungi
Description: partial contains small subunit ribosomal RNA, internal transcribed spacer 1, and 5.8S ribosomal RNA
Rfam family: Eukaryotic small subunit ribosomal RNA (bases 1-73)
Source: RNAcentral
UCAAACUUGGUCAUUUAGAGGAAGUAAAAGUCGUAACAAGGUUUCCGUAGGUGAACCUGCGGAAGGAUCAUUAUUAAGUGAGCCCCUGUCACCGGGGGUAUCGCCCACCCGUGUAUACUAUACUUUUGUUGCUUUGGCGGGCCGUGGCUUCCACUGUGGGUUUUGCUCACAAGUGCCCGCCGAAGGACCAAACUCUGAAUAUUGGUUGAUGUCUGAGUAUUAUUUAAUAAUUAAAACUUUCAACAACGGAUCUCUUGGUUCUGGCAUCGAUGAAGAACGCAGC